GUGGGGAAUAUUGGACAAUGGGGGGAACCCUGAUCCAGCCAUGCCGCGUGUGUGAAGAAGGCCUUUUGGUUGUAAAGCACUUUAAGCGAGGAGGAGGCUACCGAGAUUAAUACUCUUGGAUAGUGGACGUUACUCGCAGAAUAAGCACCGGCUAACUCUGUGCCAGCAGCCGCGGUAAUACAGAGGGUGCAAGCGUUAAUCGGAUUUACUGGGCGUAAAGCGCGCGUAGGUGGCCAAUUAAGUCAAAUGUGAAAUCCCCGAGCUUAACUUGGGAAUUGCAUUCGGUACUGGUUGGCUAGAGUAUGGGAGAGGAUGGUAGAAUUCCAGGUGUAGCGGUGAAAUGCGUAGAGAUCUGGGGGAAUACCGAUGGCGAAGGCAGCCAUCUGGCCUAAUACUGACACUGAGGUGCGAAAGCAUGGGGAGCAAACAGGAUUAGAAACCCCGGUAGUCC
RNAcentral lists this ribosomal RNA (451 nucleotides) under uncultured bacterium. RNAcentral describes it as "partial 16S ribosomal RNA". It matches the Rfam family "Bacterial small subunit ribosomal RNA", at positions 354 to 796 of the family's 1533-position model. The record is from RNAcentral.